GCGCCAGUAGUGUAGCGGUUAUCACUAGGCGUUGCCAACGCCUAAACUCGGGUUCGAAUCCCGACUGGCGCA
RNAcentral lists this transfer RNA (72 nucleotides) under Methermicoccus shengliensis. Its description in RNAcentral is "tRNA-Gly". It matches the Rfam family "tRNA". Rfam says of the family: Transfer RNA (tRNA) molecules are approximately 80 nucleotides in length. Their secondary structure includes four short double-helical elements and three loops (D, anti-codon, and T loops). The record is from RNAcentral. Lineage: Archaea; Methanobacteriati; Methanobacteriota; Methanomicrobia; Methanosarcinales; Methermicoccaceae.